GUCAAGUGAUUCCGCGCCGAUAAUGUAGCGGGGCUUAAGUUAUCCGCCGAAGCUGUGGCAACCUGUGUGGUUGGGUAGGGGAGCGUCGUGUCAGUGGUGAAGCUGCCGGGUGACUGUGUGGUGGAGUUGAUGCGAGUGAGAAUGCAGGCAUGAGUAGCGUGUGACGGGUGGGAAUCCCGUCCGCCGAUUAUCCAAGGGUUCCAGGGUCAAGUUUGUCUGCCCUGGGUGAGUCGGGUCCUAAGGCGAGGCCGACAGGCGUAGUCGAUGGGUAACCAGUUGAUAUUCUGGUACCGGCUUGUCACCGUCCGUGUCGAGGUGUGUGAUGCUAAGCAUGUGAGCUUGUCUUGGGAGUGUUUUUGAUGCUUCUGGGGUGGGUGAGUGUGUGAACCGAUCAUGUAGUAGGCAAGCUGCGGAGGGACGCAGUGAGGUAGCUCAUCCCCGGUGAUGGUUGUCCGGGGCUAAGUGUGUGGACUGUCUGGUAGGUAAAUCCGCUGGGCGUGAAGGUUGAGGCAUGAUGGGGAGCCCAUGGUUGUGGGUGAGUGAGUGAUCCUGUACUGUCGAGAAAAGCUUCGUGAGCGAGGUGGCGGGUCCGCCCGUACCCUAAACCGACACUGGUGGAUAGGUAGAGUAUACCGAGGCGAUCGAGUGAAUCGUGGUGAAGGAACUCGGCAAAAUGCCCCCGUAACUUUGGGAUAAGGGGGACCUGAGCUGUCGUGCACCCGUGCGGUGUGGUGGCGGUGAGGGGCGCAGAGUCCAGGGGGAAACGACUGUUUACCAAAAACACAGGUCCGUGCGAAGUCGUAAGACGAUGUAUACGGACUGACUCCUGCCCGGUGCUGGAAGGUUAAUUGAUGGGGUCAGCCGCAAGGCGAAGCUCUUGAUCGAAGCCCCAGUAAACGGCGGCCGUAACUAUAACGGUCCUAAGGUAGCGAAAUUCCUUGUCGGGUAAGUUCCGACCUGCACGAAUGGCGUAAUGAUGGCCAGGCUGUCUCCACCCGAGACUCAGUGAAAUUGAACUCGCUGUGAAGAUGCAGUGUACCCGCGGCAAGACGGAAAGACCCCGUGAACCUUUACUAUAGCUUGACACUGAACACUGGUCCUUGAUGUGUAGGAUAGGUGGGAGGCUUUGAAGCGUGGACGCCAGUCUGCGUGGAGCCAACCUUGAAAUACCACCCUUUAAUGGCUGGUGUUCUAACGUAGACCCGUGAUCCGGGUUGCGGACAGUGUCUGGUGGGUAGUUUGACUGGGGCGGUCUCCUCCCAAAGAGUAACGGAGGAGUGCGAAGGUAACCUCAGCGCGGUCGGAAAUCGCGCAGUGAGUGCAUAGGCAUAAGGUUGCUUGACUGCAAGACAAACAAGUCGAGCAGGUACGAAAGUAGGUCUUAGUGAUCCGGUGGUUCUGUAUGGAAGGGCCAUCGCUCAACGGAUAAAAGGUACUCCGGGGAUAACAGGCUGAUACCGCCCAAGAGUUCAUAUCGACGGCGGUGUUUGGCACCUCGAUGUCGGCUCAUC
This 1511-nucleotide ribosomal RNA is filed under the name Pieris rapae (cabbage white). Its description in RNAcentral is "bacterial LSU rRNA". It matches the Rfam family "Bacterial large subunit ribosomal RNA", at positions 1148 to 2541 of the family's 2925-position model. The record is from RNAcentral. Lineage: Eukaryota; Metazoa; Arthropoda; Insecta; Lepidoptera; Pieridae.